Molecule: long non-coding RNA, 3737 nt
Filed under: Sus scrofa (pig)
Lineage: Eukaryota; Metazoa; Chordata; Mammalia; Artiodactyla; Suidae
Description: lncRNA (ENSSSCG00055005464.1)
Source: RNAcentral
AUCAAACACAUGACUCUCAAAGGGACUGUGUAACAUAUCUGCUGCUCACCUCACUUCCUGACCUAGCCUAACACAACUUUCAAAGUGAAGGCCUCUCACUGCUGGCCGAAGAUGGAGACAAUAGAUACUUCAUGUCCAAAGACACACCAUGAAAAAGUAGUGAAGCAGCUUCUCUCCAGCUGGUUAGGUGAUUCUUCAACCUCUUAUCUACGUCAAGGGUAUAAAUGAGUCAGCACAGAGAUUAUGAAAAGUCUUUUGAGAAGGAGAUUCUUAGAAAAAACUUUGCUGUAAACCCCUAACUUCAUAUAGAACAAGGAAUGUGUGUAUGUGUGCAUGUGCACACACGCAGGGGGUGUUGAUCCUUCUUCCUUCAAAUCAUUGAAACCAUGUAGAAGAUUUGGUAUCUGUCACUUUCAGUAAGGAGCAUAGUAGCCUGGUGCCUGACUCCUACUUAACCAAAGGACAAGGAUGAGCCAGGUAGGUGUGGCUGGAUGAGCUGAUGGCAAGGGGGCUGCUUUGUGUGAAUAGUGCUUCUAGAGUAUGUUAGGCAAAGCGAGUGUUUCUCUGGACCAGAAGUGGACCCUAGGUGAUACCAAGUGUGAAGUUAUCUCAGGACCUGUUCAAAAGGACUUGCUGUGAAGGUAAUGGGAACUCAAUGGAGAGAAGCUGAAGGUAUUCAUUGCUAGGUUCUUGGGAAGUCAAGAAUGAGUAAGUGGUCAUCUGGAAAAGCCAAGUGUCUGAAUAUAUAAAGGGAGAGACUCCUAGUGAUUGUUUUAGAGAUGGAUUCUCAAGGACCAUGAAAGUGUCCCAUCAGAGAGAGCAUUGGGUAAAAACAUUUGCCAAGCUCAGAACAAAAGGCAAGCUUCUAACAGUGCCAGAUUUUCCUGAGUGGAGAGGAGGAAAGAAUGAGCCCUCCUCCCACCCCUGGAACACCCCCUGGGACAAGCCCGGGGACCUUGGGUCUCUAAUCACAGUGGAACAGGACAUUGGAUCUUAUCACUGACCAGGAGCUGAACAUCAGAACAAUGUUGGGAAAAGGAGUGAUUUUGCCUGGCAGGUGUGUGUGUGUGUGUGUGUGUGUGUGUGUGUGUGUGUGUGUGUGUACACAGAAAGAAUUCUCUAUGGCAUUGGUUUGUUCUCUUUCAGAUGCAACAUCUUUAGGGUGAUGUCAGACACUGGUAAGAAAGCUGCCUUUGUUGUAACUGGCGAUGUUCAUCCUGAAAUGAGGGUCCCAGGACCAACCUGGGAAGAAAUGACGUGAGGCAACAAGGCCUUUUAUGGGUGGGAGGGAUAGACUCGUAGGAUGCUGCACAUGGAUGGCAUUCAGAGCUCAUCCUGCUUUUGGCUCUUAAGAUGUAGCUUAACUCACCUGGAGAGAGUUUUUAAGAAACAGGUACGAAGACCCCAGCCCCAGAAGGGCUAGAUCGUGGUAUCCAGAAUAACAUCUGGCGUGAGAAUUGGAUAACGUUUUGGGGAGAUUCUGAUUCAUAUUCUUGAUGAAGUACCAUCAGACAAGUCCAACUCUUUCAUUUUACAUUUAUGUAUCCUCCUCAUCAGAGAUCAACUUUCUUUAGGAACAAAAUUAAUAUCCCAAAUUCAAAGACUUGAAAAUAAUGCAGUCCUACCAAGGCAAAUGGAAAUAGUCACAACCUCUGGGUCCAGCUCAUCAUUUUCCAGGAGAGGUGGUGAGAUAAUUAAAGAAAAGACACACAUCUGGCAAAUGAUAGCAGCAGGUUUAGGAUUUGGAUUCCCUGACUCCUGAAGCAGUUUUUCUUUCCAGUACACUCUCUUGCCCUCUGUUUUGCUUAGAGCUUAAAUCUAGCCAAUGAACUGAAUUGAUUAACUCCAGUAAUAUCAACACUAUCUCCCUUAAUGAGCAGUUCAUAUGGUUAUACUUUCCCAAAUCAUUCUACUUUAUUUAGAAGCUUAGUUUUGUUUUGUUUUGUUUUGUUUUCAUUUUCUUUUAUUGGGGAAUGUCAACAUUUAACACCCACUGGGUGCGGAUGAGCAGUUUUCUGGGGCAUGGAAGACGUAGCACCCAAAGCAGUCGUGAGAUUCUGUCACUGCUCUGGGCAUUGGAUGUCUUUCUUGGUUAUGCCCCAGUAGAAACUACAGUCCCUCUUCCUGGUCACAUCAUCACCAUUGUGACUGGCUCACUCUCUGUGGCCGAAACGAUUUCUGAGCAAGAGCAUCCGCUGACUCCUUAAAAAUACUCCUUAAAAAUAAACCUGUUUUAGCCAGGUUCACACACUUUCAUCCUUUUUAUGUCUUUAAUUAAAAACUAAAAAUAUCCUUUACCCUGAGUGAUGAAUUGGGCUAAAUGCCUUAUUAUAAGCACCCACGACCUUUGGAGUGAAUGAUUCAAGCUGUGAUUAAAUGCAAAUUGGUGCUUAAGAAUAAUUAGGCUGGGUGGCCUGCAAGCCAAGGGAGCACCGGAUCCAAUUACUUCUUUCCUGCAUGUUGAGCGCCUGAUCGAUCACACUUCUUGCUAUGGAACAGCUGGAAUCACACCUUCCUAAGUGCAGGGAUGGACUUUAGAUGAGAUCAAAAUAAACAUUCAUAAUAUGAAAAUCCUAUCAAGGCAGAUGGAAAUGGACACAAGCUUUGGGUCCAUGUAAUAAUUUUCCUUUAGUGACAAAUUAGCUCGAACCACGUCAGCAGACUAGCUUUCCCAGAAAAAGGCACUGCGAUGGGGUCGGGGUAUCUAAAACCCCUGAGAACCUGGCUUGGUGUCAUUAUAGAACUUGCUCUAAUUCCUUAGCCCAUGGCUUACGCAUCAAACUAACUGCUCAGAUAGUUUUUGGUCCUUUAAAUGUAAUAGCUAUUUCUGUAAAGCCUUUACCUAUCAGGCCCUGUAUGAGACACUUUGCAUGUUUCAUUUGAUUGUCAUAACUGCUCUAUGAGAAAAGUACAAUCAUCACUAUUUCACACAAGGGGAAAUGGAGGUAUAGAGAAGUACCCCAGAUGACAAAGUUAAUAAAGAGACUUUCAGAGAAGUGCUGGAUAACAGAAUAUGGUUGUAUCAGGAUGAACUCAAAAACGACCAGAAAAACAGUUCAACAGUUGGCCUGCUGUUGCUGAGUCAGUAGCAUCUUUAAACAGGAGCAGUAUAUAAGAGCAUGUGUCGAUGCCUGUGUUCUGAGCAGCUACAUCUUAAAGGGAUUCCCCCCCCCCAUAUGUGUCUCUGAACAGGAAUAUAGUUCAUCCUUAAGAUGCUUAGGGUUUGGGGAAAAGUUAAAUGACGUUUGUGGAAUAAAGGAAUGAAAAUAUUUUUCAAGACUAUAAUGAAUACUUUUCAUUAGGGAUUGUUUGAAAAGAGAGACAAAAGGAAGAAAGUGUUUUUUCAUGUAACUGCUAUGCCUCUGUGUGCAUUUUGCUAUAUUUUCCUAUAAUUUUAUUCUCUACCAUAUGUAUCAGUUAUCUAUUUUGUAUAAGAAAUUAUCCUCAAUUUAGUGUCUUAAAACAACAACCACUAUGGAGUUCCCAUCAUGGCUCAGUGGUAAUGAACCUGACUAGUAUCCAUGAGGACAUGGGUUUGAUCCCUGGCCUCUCUCAGUGGGUUAAGGAUCUGUUAUUGCUGUGAGGUGUGGGUUGCAGACCUAGCUUGGAUCCUGUGUUGCUGUGGCUGGGGUGUAGGCCGGCAGUUGCAGCUCCGAUUCGACCCCUAGCCUAGGAACCUCCACAUGCUGCGGGUGUGGCCCUAAAAAGACAAAAAAAAAAAAAAAAAAAAAAAAAAA